GAUGAAGAACGUAGCGAAAUGCGAUACUUGGUGUGAAUUGCAGAAUCCCGUGAACCAUCGAGUCUUUGAACGCAAGUUGCGCCUCAAGCCAUUAGGUUGAGGGCACGUCUGCCUGGGCGUCACAUAUCGUUGCCUGAUGCCAGUUUCCUCGUGAUGGGUGACUGUGCAGGGCGAAUGAUGGCUUCCCGUGAGCAUUGUUGCCUCAUGGUUGGUUGAAAAUUGAGUCCUUGGUAGGGAGCGCCGUGAUAGAUGGUGGAUGAGUGACGAACGAGACCCAAUCAUGUGAGACCCCUACCGAAUUUGGCCUUCAUGACCCACAUGCGUCUUUGGAACGCUCAUGACGAGACCUCAGGUCAGGCGGGGCUACCCGCUGAGUUUAAGCAUAUCAAUAAGCGGAGGA
Molecule: unclassified non-coding RNA, 400 nt
Filed under: soil metagenome
Description: partial contains 5.8S ribosomal RNA, internal transcribed spacer 2, and large subunit ribosomal RNA
Rfam family: 5.8S ribosomal RNA (bases 1-122)
Source: RNAcentral